GGGCCUGGGAACGUGGCUGGUUGGAGGAGGUAGAUCACCCUUUCUGCGGUGGACGAUUUCGUCGGUGGUAGCAGGUACCACGAGUGGAUGAAAUCAGAGGAGCUGCAGCGUUUGACAGCCUCGGAGCCGCUGACCCUGGAGCAGGAGUAUGCCAUGCAGCGCAGCUGGCAGGAAGAUGCAGACAAGUGUACCUUCAUUGUGCUGGAUGCCGAGAAGUGGCAGGCCCAGCCAGGCGCCACCGAAGAGAGCUGCAUGGUGGGAGAUGUGAACCUCUUCCUCACAGAUCUAGAAGACCCCACCUUGGGGGAGAUCGAGGUCAUGAUUGCAGAAUGGUAACGAUAGUAGCAACUUCAGAGUUGUUGAGAAUUAAAUGAGAUGGUGUCUGCCAAGUGCCCGCACUGAAGCCUGGCACAUGGCGUCAGCGCCGCUCCUGUUGUCUCUCCUAGAGCCCAGCUGCAGGGGUAAGGGCCUUGGCACUGAGGCCGUUCUCGCGAUGCUGUCUUACGGUAAGAAAGUGUGAGCAGACAAUGCGGGAAGUGGCCAGGCCCC
This 549-nucleotide small RNA is filed under the name Pan troglodytes (chimpanzee). Its description in RNAcentral is "retained intron". The record is from RNAcentral. Lineage: Eukaryota; Metazoa; Chordata; Mammalia; Primates; Hominidae.